This 412-nucleotide ribosomal RNA is filed under the name uncultured prokaryote. Its description in RNAcentral is "bacterial SSU rRNA". It matches the Rfam family "Bacterial small subunit ribosomal RNA", at positions 505 to 918 of the family's 1533-position model. The record is from RNAcentral.
GUGUCAGCCGCCGCGGUAAUACGUAGGGGGCGAGCGUUACCCGGAAUCACUGGGCGUAAAGGGGGCGUAGGCGGUUUGGCAAGUCAAGUGUGAAAUUCCACGGCUCAACUGUGGAGCUGCGCUUGAAACUGCCAAACUUGAGGCCAGUAGAGGGAGACGGAAUUGCCGGUGUAGGGGUGAAAUCCGUAGAUAUCGGCAAGAACGCCGGUGGGGAAGCCGGUCUCCUGGGCUGAGCCUGACGCUGAGGCCCGAAAGCUAGGGGAGCGAACGGGAUUAGAAACCCCGGUAGUCCACGCCGUAAACGAUGUCGACCAGGUGUUGGGGCGAAAGGCUUCAGCGCCGAAGCUAACGCGUUAAGCAUCCCGCCUGGGGACUACGGCCGCAAGGCUAAAACUCAAAGGAAUUGACGGGG